AGUGAACGCUGGCGGUAGGCCUAACACAUGCGAGUCGAACGGCAGCACAGUAAGAGCUUGCUCUUACGGGUGGCGAGUGGCGGACGGGUGAGGAAUACAUCGGAAUCUACUUUUUCGUGGGGGAUAACGUAGGGAAACUUACGCUAAUACCGCAUACGACCUACGGGUGAAAGCAGGGGAUCUUCGGACCUUGCGCGAUUGAAUGAGCCGAUGUCGGAUUAGCUAGUUGGCGGGGUAAAGGCCCACCAAGGCGACGAUCCGUAGCUGGUCUGAGAGGAUGAUCAGCCACACUGGAACUGAGACACGGUCCAGACUCCUACGGGAGGCAGCAGUGGGGAAUAUUGGACAAUGGGCGCAAGCCUGAUCCAGCCAUGCCGCGUGGGUGAAGAAGGCCUUCGGGUUGUAAAGCCCUUUUGUUGGGAAAGAAAAGCAGCAGGUUAAUACCCCGCUGUUCUGACGGUACCCAAAGAAUAAGCACCGGCUAACUUCGUG
Molecule: ribosomal RNA, 492 nt
Filed under: uncultured bacterium
Lineage: Bacteria
Description: partial 16S ribosomal RNA
Rfam family: Bacterial small subunit ribosomal RNA
Source: RNAcentral